AGCAGCCGCGGUAAUUCCAGCUCCAAUAGCGUAUAUUAAAGUUGUUGCAGUUAAAAGCUCGUAGUUGAAUUUCGAGACCAAUAUGUCGGUCGUGCCUCGGUACGUACUGGCAUCGUUGGUUUCUCCUUUCUGAAGAACCAUGAUGUCAUUUAUUUGGUGUCGUGGGGAAUCAGGACUGUUACUUUGAAAAAUUAGAGUGUUUAAAGCAGGCUCACGCUUGAAUACAUUAGCAUGGAAUAAUGAAAUAGGACGUUUGAUUCUAUUUUGUUGGUUUCUAGGAUCGACGUAAUGAUUAAUAGGGAUAGUUGGGGGCAUUAGUAUUCAAUUGUAAGAGGUGAAAUUCUUGGAUUUAUUGAAGACUAACUACUGCGAAAGCAUUUGCCAAGGAUGUUUUCAUUAAUCAAGAACGAAAGUUAGGGAUCGAAGACGAUCAGAUACCGUCGUAGUCUUAACCAUAAACGAUGUCGACCAGGGAUCAACGGAUGUUGCUUUUAGGACUCCGUUGGCACCUUUUGGGAAC
RNAcentral lists this unclassified non-coding RNA (520 nucleotides) under uncultured Glomus. Its description in RNAcentral is "SSU rRNA". It matches the Rfam family "Eukaryotic small subunit ribosomal RNA", at positions 569 to 1097 of the family's 1831-position model. Lineage: Eukaryota; Fungi; Glomeromycota; Glomeromycetes; Glomerales; Glomeraceae. The record is from RNAcentral.